RNAcentral lists this ribosomal RNA (560 nucleotides) under Pristimantis toftae (Pachitea robber frog). RNAcentral describes it as "partial 16S ribosomal RNA". It matches the Rfam family "Bacterial large subunit ribosomal RNA", at positions 1831 to 2597 of the family's 2925-position model. The record is from RNAcentral. Lineage: Eukaryota; Metazoa; Chordata; Amphibia; Anura; Strabomantidae.
CGCCUCUUGAAUUUAUUAGAGGUCCAGCCUGCCCAGUGACUCUUGUUUAACGGCCGCGGUAUCCUAACCGUGCUAAGGUAGCGUAAUCACUUGUCUUCUAAAUAAAGACUAGUAUGAAAGGCAUCACGAGGGUUUAACUGUCUCCUCUCUCUAAUCAGUGAACCUAAUCCCCCCGUGAAAAAGCGGGGAUUUUUUUAUAAGACGAGAAGACCCUAUGGAGCUUAAAACAUCCUACACGUGCCUGACUAACCACAUACCCCGGUAUCCACAUCCCCUUACACGAUGAUUUAAUGUUUUUGGUUGGGGUGACCGCGGAGAAAAACACAUCCCCCGCAAUGAAAGGAGUCCUUCCUUAACCACAAGCUACAACUUUAUGUAUUAAUAUAUUAACACCACUGACCCAAUAAAUUGAUUAAUGAACCAAGUUACCCUAGGGAUAACAGCGCAAUCCACUUCCAGAGCCCCUAUCGACAAGUGGGCUUACGACCUCGAUGUUGGAUCGGGGUAUCCUAGUGGUGCAGCCGCUACUAAGGGUUCGUUUGUUCAACGAUUAAAACCCC